Molecule: ribosomal RNA, 497 nt
Filed under: uncultured bacterium
Lineage: Bacteria
Description: partial 16S ribosomal RNA
Rfam family: Bacterial small subunit ribosomal RNA
Source: RNAcentral
GAUGAACGCUGGCGGCGUGCCUAAUACAUGCAAGUCGAGCGAACAGACGAGGAGCUUGCUCCUCUGACGUUAGCGGCGGACGGGUGAGUAACACGUGGAUAACCUACCUAUAAGACUGGGAUAACUUCGGGAAACCGGAGCUAAUACCGGAUAAUAUAUUGAACCGCAUGGUUCAAUAGUGAAAGACGGUUUUGCUGUCACUUAUAGAUGGAUCCGCGCCGCCUUAGCUAGUUGGUAAGGUAACGGCUUACCAAGGCAACGAUGCGUAGCCGACCUGAGAGGGUGAUCGGCCACACGGGAACUGAGACACGGUCCAGACUCCUACGGGAGGCAGCAGUAGGGAAUCUUCCGCAAUGGGCGAAAGCCUGACGGAGCAACGCCGCGUGAGUGAUGAAGGUCUUCGGAUCGUAAAACUCUGUUAUUAGGGAAGAACAAAUGUGUAAGUAACUAUGCACGUCUUGACGGUACCUAAUCAGAAAGCCACGGCUAACUACGUG